Molecule: ribosomal RNA, 464 nt
Filed under: uncultured bacterium
Lineage: Bacteria
Description: partial 16S ribosomal RNA
Rfam family: Bacterial small subunit ribosomal RNA
Source: RNAcentral
GACGAACGCUGGCGGCGUGCUUAACACAUGCAAGUCGUACGGUAAGGCCCUUUCUGGGGUACACGAGUGGCGAACGGGUGAGUAACACGUGAGUAACCUGCCCACAACUUUGGGAUAACGCUAGGAAACUGGUGCUAAUACUGGAUAUGUGCUCCUGCUGCAUGGUGGGGGUUGGAAAGCUCCGGCGGUUGUGGAUGGACUCGCGGCCUAUCAGCUUGUUGGUGGGGUAGUGGCCUACCAAGGCGGCGACGGGUAGCCGGCCUGAGAGGGUGACCGGCCACAUUGGGACUGAGAUACGGCCCAGACUCCUACGGGAGGCAGCAGUGGGGAAUAUUGCACAAUGGGCGCAAGCCUGAUGCAGCAACGCCGCGUGCGGGAUGACGGCCUUCGGGUUGUAAACCGCUUUCAGCAGGGACGAAGCUUUUUGGAACGGAACCUGCAGAAGAAGCACCGGCAAACUACGU